This 253-nucleotide ribosomal RNA is filed under the name uncultured bacterium. Its description in RNAcentral is "partial 16S ribosomal RNA". It matches the Rfam family "Bacterial small subunit ribosomal RNA", at positions 524 to 776 of the family's 1533-position model. The record is from RNAcentral.
UACGUAGGGUGCAAGCGUUAAUCGGAAUUACUGGGCGUAAAGCGUGCGCAGGCGGUUGUGCAAGACAGGUGUGAAAUCCCCGGGCUUAACCUGGGAACUGCACUUGUGACUGCACGACUGGAGUACGGCAGAGGGGGAUGGAAUUCCGCGUGUAGCAGUGAAAUGCGUAGAUAUGCGGAGGAACACCGAUGGCGAAGGCAGUCCCCUGGGCCUGUACUGACGCUCAUGCACGAAAGCGUGGGGAGCAAACAGG